UGGUAUUAACUACGCGAAGAAAUGGUAUCUAUACAAUCAAACUAUAAAGAUAUGAAUUCAAAGCUGAAUCCAAACACUAUGGAA
Molecule: long non-coding RNA, 84 nt
Organism: Xenia sp. Carnegie-2017
Lineage: Eukaryota; Metazoa; Cnidaria; Anthozoa; Malacalcyonacea; Xeniidae
Exons: 2
Source: RefSeq, a predicted model, not a curated record